GCGCCGGUAAGGUGAUAUGAACCGUUAUAACCGGCGAUUUCCGAAUGGGGAAACCCAGUGUGAUUCGUCACACUAUCAUUAACUGAAUCCAUAGGUUAAUGAGGCGAACCGGGGGAACUGAAACAUCUAAGUACCCCGAGGAAAAGAAAUCAACCGAGAUUCCCCCAGUAGCGGCGAGCGAACGGGGAGGAGCCCAGAGCCUGAAUCAGCAUGUGUGUUAGUGGAAGCGUCUGGAAAGGCGCGCGAUACAGGGUGACAGCCCCGUACACAAAAGCGCAUGUGCUGUGAGCUCGAUGAGUAGGGCGGGACACGUGGUAUCCUGUCUGAAUAUGGGGGGACCAUCCUCCAAGGCUAAAUACUCCUGACUGACCGAUAGUGAACCAGUACCGUGAGGGAAAGGCGAAAAGAACCCCGGCGAGGGGAGUGAAAAAGAACCUGAAACCGUGUACGUACAAGCAGUGGGAGCACCCUUUUGGGUGUGACUGCGUACCUUUUGUAUAAUGGGUCAGCGACUUAUAUUCUGUAGCAAGGUUAACCGAAUAGGGGAGCCGUAGGGAAACCGAGUCUUAACCGGGCGUUAAGUUGCAGGGUAUAGACCCGAAACCCGGUGAUCUAGCCAUGGGCAGGUUGAAGGUUGGGUAACACUAACUGGAGGACCGAACCGACUAAUGUUGAAAAAUUAGCGGAUGACCUGUGGCUGGGGGUGAAAGGCCAAUCAAACCGGGAGAUAGCUGGUUCUCCCCGAAAGCUAU
This 752-nucleotide ribosomal RNA is filed under the name Salmonella enterica subsp. enterica serovar Newport. Its description in RNAcentral is "partial 23S ribosomal RNA". It matches the Rfam family "Bacterial large subunit ribosomal RNA", at positions 75 to 869 of the family's 2925-position model. Lineage: Bacteria; Pseudomonadati; Pseudomonadota; Gammaproteobacteria; Enterobacterales; Enterobacteriaceae. The record is from RNAcentral.